AUAGUCGGUCAAACAUCCGCCAUUAAACUCCAGAGGAAGAUUUGCACUGGUGSUAACGAGUGCUAACUGCUACACCCAACAUGAACGAAAAUGUCCAUGCGUUGUGUGAAAUGGUGGAAAAAGUCCUAUUUCACGGAGUUACCUUUUCAGUAUCAUUUUGAUAUUAAGCAAUGAUCCGGCGGAAAACAACAGAUGACACCGCRGCRGUCCAACAAGACCGAACUCACGACCUGAAAAAUGGCCAAGCAGAACCAGCCAGACCUCAGACCACGGUGCCGAGGAGCUCUGAGUCCACCAGGACGAAGAGAAAUUCAUACAGCAAGGCAAAGUGUGGAACGCAGUAAAGAUCUACAAAAUGGCGGACGGAGGACGGAUCUGAGGAUGAAGUCAUGAAGCCGGUAUGUAUAAUUAAUCACUGCGUUGA
This is a long non-coding RNA of Poecilia reticulata (guppy), 424 nucleotides long. RefSeq lists it as uncharacterized. Lineage: Eukaryota; Metazoa; Chordata; Actinopteri; Cyprinodontiformes; Poeciliidae. The record is from RefSeq and is a predicted model, not a curated record.